AGCUAAUACCGGAUAACAUUUUCUCUUGCAUAAGAGAAAAUUGAAAGAUGGUUUCGGCUAUCACUUACAGAUGGGCCCGCGGUGCAUUAGCUAGUUGGUGAGGUAACGGCUCACCAAGGCAACGAUGCAUAGCCGACCUGAGAGGGUGAUCGGCCACACUGGGACUGAGACACGGCCCAGACUCCUACGGGAGGCAGCAGUAGGGAAUCUUCCGCAAUGGACGAAAGUCUGACGGAGCAACGCCGCGUGAGUGAUGAAGGCUUUCGGGUCGUAAAACUCUGUUGUUAGGGAAGAACAAGUACAAGAGUAACUGCUUGUACCUUGACGGUACCUAACCAGAAAGCCACGGCUAACUACGUGCCAGCAGCCGCGGUAAUACGUAGGUGGCAAGCGUUAUCCGGAAUUAUUGGGCGUAAAGCGCGCGCAGGCGGUUUCUUAAGUCUGAUGUGAAAGCCCACGGCUCAACCGUGGAGGGUCAUUGGAAACUGGGGAACUUGAGUGCAGAAGAGAAAAGCGGAAUUCCACGUGUAGCGGUGAAAUGCGUAGAGAUGUGGAGGAACACCAGUGGCGAAGGCGGCUUUUUGGUCUGUAACUGACGCUGAGGCGCGAAAGCGUGGGGAGCAAACAGGAUUAG
This 634-nucleotide ribosomal RNA is filed under the name Priestia flexa. Its description in RNAcentral is "bacterial SSU rRNA". It matches the Rfam family "Bacterial small subunit ribosomal RNA", at positions 161 to 781 of the family's 1533-position model. Lineage: Bacteria; Bacillati; Bacillota; Bacilli; Caryophanales; Bacillaceae. The record is from RNAcentral.